CGACGCUCGUGGAGUGGAAACCAAAUGGUGGACCGACUACACCGAGACAUCGUUCUAUGAAAAGGCUGACUGCUUUCGAAAGCAGUACGGAAGCAUCGUCGACCCUCUGGCUAACAUGACGCUCAAUGCAAGGGGUACCUACGUUCAAGACAUUGCUGACAACUCCGCAGUUCUAACCGCAUUUCACGCGUACUUGGCUUCAUCUGAUGGCAAACCAAAGGUGUCGCUGCCGGGCCUCGAAAACUUCUCUCCGGAACAGCUAUUCUUCCUUUCCUAUGGCUCG
Long non-coding RNA from Dermacentor silvarum, 283 nucleotides. RefSeq lists it as uncharacterized. The transcript is spliced from 3 exons. The record is from RefSeq and is a predicted model, not a curated record. NCBI's taxonomy places the organism in Eukaryota, Metazoa, Arthropoda, Arachnida, Ixodida, Ixodidae.